This 141-nucleotide small nucleolar RNA is filed under the name Kryptolebias marmoratus (mangrove rivulus). Lineage: Eukaryota; Metazoa; Chordata; Actinopteri; Cyprinodontiformes; Rivulidae. The record is from RNAcentral.
UGAGCACGCGUUUAAAGCCAGGCACUUCAUGUGGGUGUUUUGGUGUCGGAAGUGUGCAAGAGUAAGGAGGCCGGGGUUUCGCUAACACCAUGAGGGCACCUGUCCUAUGACUGGGGUUUGAUAGUGACCUGAGCCACAAUU